AGAGUUUGAUCAUGGCUCAAGAUGAACGCUAGCGGCAGGCUUAAUACAUGCAAGUCAAGGGGUAGCAAUACACCGGCGUACGGGUGCGUAACGCGUAUGGAACCUGCCCUUAUCUGGGGGAUAACUCGGGGAAACUCGAGCUAAUACCGCAUAAGAUAGUAAAGAGGCAUCUCUUAGCUAUUAAAGAUUUAUCGGAUAAGGAUGGCCAUGCGUAAGAUUAGAUAGUUGGCGGGGUAACGGCCCACCAAGGCUACGAUCGAUAGGGGGUGUGAGAGCAUGACCCCCCACACGGGUACUGAGACACGGACCCGACUCCUACGGGAGGCAGCAGUAAGGAAUAUUGGACAAUGGGCGGAAGCCUGAUCCAGCCAUGCCGCGUGAAGGACGAAGGCGCUCAGCGUUGUAAACUUCUUUUGGAUGGGAACAAUAACUCCGACUUGUUGGAGCUUGAGGGUACCAUCAGAAUAAGCACCGGCUAACUCCGUGCCAGCAGCCGCGGUAAUACGAAGGGUGCAAGCGUUACUCGGAAUUACUGGGCGUAAAGCGUGCGUAGGUGGUUGUUUAAGUCUGUCGUGAAAGCCCUGGGCUCAACCUGGGAAUUGCGAUGGAAACUGGGCGACUAGAGUGUGGCAGAGGAUAGUGUAAUUCCUGGUGUAGCAGUGAAAUGCGUAGAGAUCAGGAGGAACAUCCGUGGCGAAAGCGACUGUCUGGGCCCAACACUGACACUGAGGCACGAGAGCGUGGGGAGCAAACAAGGAUUAGAUACCCUGUAGUCCACGCCCUAAACGAUGCGAACUGGAUGUUGGGUGCAAUUUCGCACGCAGUAUCGAAGCUAACGCGUUAAGUUUCCGCCGCCUAGAGGAGUACGGUCGCAAGACUGAAUACUCAAAAUGAAGUUGACGGCGCCCGCACAUCAGUGGAGUAUGUGUUUCAGUCCGAUGCAGCGACGAAGCAUUCCUUUACCCUUG
RNAcentral lists this ribosomal RNA (968 nucleotides) under uncultured bacterium. RNAcentral's name for it is "bacterial SSU rRNA". It matches the Rfam family "Bacterial small subunit ribosomal RNA", at positions 8 to 979 of the family's 1533-position model. The record is from RNAcentral.